Molecule: small RNA, 31 nt
Filed under: Bombyx mori (domestic silkworm)
Lineage: Eukaryota; Metazoa; Arthropoda; Insecta; Lepidoptera; Bombycidae
Description: ovarian small RNA-19659
Source: RNAcentral
UAAUCCUCAGUGCUGAGGGUCGUGGCCUCUA